Molecule: unclassified non-coding RNA, 243 nt
Filed under: uncultured Actinomycetes bacterium
Lineage: Bacteria; Bacillati; Actinomycetota; Actinomycetes
Description: uncultured actinobacterium partial contains 16S ribosomal RNA, 16S-23S ribosomal RNA intergenic spacer, and 23S ribosomal RNA
Source: RNAcentral
UGCGGCUGGAUCCCCUCCUUUCUGGAGCAUCGAGUAGGCCCGCCCGGCUGGGGGUCGAAAGAUCUCGAGAUUCGCCCGCACUUCGGCCCUCUGGUUCACGUCAUUUGUCUUUCGCUCUUUGACAAAUGAGAUGAUGGAUGUGCUGCGCAUGGCCGCAAGGCGUGCGCAGGGUGUGAGGAAUCAACACCGAACACAAACGAAUUGAGAUCAAACGCAAUAAGGCACACGGUGGAUGCCUUGGCA